CAAAUUGCUUUUUAAGUUAAGAGAGCAAGAAAGAGAGAGAAAGAGUCAGAAAGAAAGAAAGAGAGCGACAAUGUGAGGCAGAGAGGAGCGGGGACAAAAGGGCAGCUGCAGAAACAUUUGGCUGUGCCGAAGGGUAGUGGGCUCAACAUGUUAAGUGUGGGACCAGCUUGGGCCUGAAGUUCGCGGGGAGCUGCGUGCCAGGCUGCUGCACAUGGCCACAGCAGGCCCAGCCGUUACGCCGAGGAGAAUCACUCUGUACUAUUGCUCUGCAAACAGCUGUUCACCGCACAGCUGCCCAGGCAAGCACAAAGUGGAGCUUUCCUGUCCGAUCUCCUCUUCGCUCCAGGUGCUCCUUAUAAUAUUAAGGCCCGCUCGUGGUUGCGGGCGAAUGCCAGCGUGAGUGUGAGUGUGAUCGUGGCCGUGUAGAGAUGCCAACCUCUCCGCUCCCUGCAAGCUCCAGCAGCGCUCGCCCCAUCUGUCGCCUUCACCAACCUGCAGCAGUGCAGGAGUGGCCCGAGGCCUACUCGCAGGAUUAAUGCACACAACCUGAACUGGGUUACAGAGAGAGAGAGAGAGAGACACGAGCUCAGCCUGUGGGACCUGGCACCACCAACUUGCCACAUUCCCUCUCACAAUGCAGCAUUAUCCGUGGCCGCGCGGCACCCUUGGCAGGAGACGGAAGAGGAAUCCUGAGGCUUCUGAGAUUGAGGAUGAAUGUGAUAGGUGCGCUCUGUAACUUUGAUGUGUCCUCUAAAAUAAAAACGAGAGAGAGUGAGAGAAAAUAGGUCUG
This 790-nucleotide long non-coding RNA is filed under the name Astyanax mexicanus (Mexican tetra). RNAcentral's name for it is "lncRNA (ENSAMXG00005008773.1)". The record is from RNAcentral. Lineage: Eukaryota; Metazoa; Chordata; Actinopteri; Characiformes; Acestrorhamphidae.